This 664-nucleotide ribosomal RNA is filed under the name uncultured cyanobacterium. RNAcentral's name for it is "bacterial SSU rRNA". It matches the Rfam family "Bacterial small subunit ribosomal RNA", at positions 99 to 796 of the family's 1533-position model. The record is from RNAcentral. Lineage: Bacteria; Bacillati; Cyanobacteriota.
CGGACGGGUGAGUAACGCGUGAGAAUCUACCCUUAGGAUGGGGACAACAGUUGGAAACGACUGCUAAUACCCGAUGUGCCGAGAGGUAAAACUUAUAUGGCCUGAGGAAGAGCUCGCGUCUGAUUAGCUAGUUGGUAGUGUAAGGGACUACCAAGGCGACGAUCAGUAGCUGGUCUGAGAGGAUGAUCAGCCACACUGGGACUGAGACACGGCCCAGACUCCUACGGGAGGCAGCAGUGGGGAAUUUUCCGCAAUGGGCGAAAGCCUGACGGAGCAAGACCGCGUGAGGGAGGAAGGCCUACUGGUUGUAAACCUCUUUUGAUAGGGAAGAACACAAUGACGGUACCUAUCGAAUCAGCCUCGGCUAACUCCGUGCCAGCAGCCGCGGUAAUACGGAGGAGGCAAGCGUUAUCCGGAAUUAUUGGGCGUAAAGCGUCCGUAGGUGGUUAUCCAAGUCAGUUGUUAAAGCGUAGAGCUUAACUCUAUAAGGGCAAUUGAAACUGGGUGGCUAGAGUGCGAUAGGGGCAAGGGGAAUUCCCAGUGUAGCGGUGAAAUGCGUAGAUAUUGGGAAGAACAUCGGUGGCGAAGGCGCCUUGCUGGGUCUGCACUGACACUGAGGGACGAAAGCUAGGGGAGCGAAAGGGAUUAGAUACCCCUGUAGUCA